This 1159-nucleotide ribosomal RNA is filed under the name uncultured bacterium. RNAcentral describes it as "bacterial SSU rRNA". It matches the Rfam family "Bacterial small subunit ribosomal RNA", at positions 52 to 1175 of the family's 1533-position model. The record is from RNAcentral.
AGCAUGCAGUCGAACGGGAUCUUAGAGAGUGGAGACUUCGGUCAAAGCAUUCUAAGUGAGAGUGGCGAAAGGGUGAGGAACGCUUGGGUAACUUGCCUCGGAGAUUGGGAUAACCUGCCGAAAGGCGGGCUAAUACCGAAUAAGACCACAGUAUCUAUGGAUACAGUGGUAAAAAUAGGCCUCUAUUUAUAAGCUUUUGCUCCGAGAUAGGCCCGAGUCUUAUUAGCUUGUUGGUGAGGUAACGGCUCACCAAGGCUAUGAUGAGUAGCUGGUCUGAGAGGAUGGUCAGCCACACUGGGACUGAGACACUGCCCAGACUCCUACGGGAGGCUGCAGUCGAGAAUCUUUCGCAAUGGGGGAAACCCUGACGAAGCGACGCCGCGUGAGCGAUGAAGGCCUUCGGGUUGUAAAGCUCUGUCACAAGGGACGAACAGCAGUACUAAUAAUAUUGGUACUGCCUGACGGUACCUUGAGAGGAAGCCCCGGCUAACUCCGUGCCAGCAGCCGCGGUAAUACGGAGGGGGCAAGCGUUGUUCGGAUUUACUGGGUGUAAAGGGUGUGUAGGUGGCAUAGUAAGUGAGACGUGAAAUCUCCGAGCUUAACUUGGAAACUGCAUUUCAUACUGCUAAGCUAGAGUACCGCAGAGGCAAAUGGAAUUCUCGGUGUAAGGGUGAAAUCUGCAGAUAUCGAGAAGAACACCAGUGGCGAAGGCGAUUUGCUGGGCGGAUACUGACGCUGAAACACGAAAGCUAGGGUAGCGAACGGGAUUAGAUACCCCGGUAGUCCUAGCCGUAAACGAUGGACACUAGGUGUGGGAAGGGUUACCUUUCUGUGCCGCAGCUAACGCAUUAAGUGUCCCACCUGGGGAGUACGGUCGCAAGACUGAAACUCAAAGGAAUUGACGGGGACCCGCACAAACGGUGGAGCAUGUGGUUUAAUACGACGAUACGCGUGGAACCUUACCAGGGCUUGACAUGUAUUAGAAAGUCUAUGGAAACAUAGACCCUUCCUUCGGGACUAUUACACAGGUGUUGCAUGGCUGUCGUCAGCUCGUGUCGUGAGAUGUUGGGUUAAGUCCCGCACGAGCGCACCCCUACGUAGUGCAGCAGCUAGCUGGGCACUCUAACAGAACUGCCGCAGAAUAAUGGUGGAGAAAGUG